This 235-nucleotide unclassified non-coding RNA is filed under the name uncultured Saccharomyces. RNAcentral describes it as "sequence contains ITS2". Lineage: Eukaryota; Fungi; Ascomycota; Saccharomycetes; Saccharomycetales; Saccharomycetaceae. The record is from RNAcentral.
CCUUCUCAAACAUUCUGUUUGGUAGUGAGUGAUACUCUUUGGAGUUAACUUGAAAUUGCUGGCCUUUUCAUUGGAUGUUUUUUUUUUUUCCAAAGAGAGGUUUCUCUGCGUGCUUGAGGUAUAAUGCAAGUACGGUCGUUUUAGGUUUUACCAACUGCGGCUAAUCUUUUUUAUACUGAGCGUAUUGGAACGUUAUCGAUAAGAAGAGAGCGUCUAGGCGAACAAUGUUCUUAAA